This 395-nucleotide ribosomal RNA is filed under the name uncultured Rhodocyclaceae bacterium. RNAcentral's name for it is "bacterial SSU rRNA". It matches the Rfam family "Bacterial small subunit ribosomal RNA", at positions 988 to 1382 of the family's 1533-position model. Lineage: Bacteria; Pseudomonadati; Pseudomonadota; Betaproteobacteria; Rhodocyclales; Rhodocyclaceae. The record is from RNAcentral.
AUAGGUUGUAGGGAACUGAAAGGGACCGACCCUUCGGGAGCCUAUACAGGUGUUGCAUGGCUGUCGUCAGCUCGUGUCGUGAGAUGUUGGGUUAAGUCCCGUAACGAGCGCAACCCUUUGUCCAUAGUUGCCAGCACGUAAAGGUGGGAACUCUAAUGAGACUGCCGGUGACAAACCGGAGGAAGGUGGGGAUGACGUCAAGUCCUCAUGGCCCUUAUGGGUAGGGCUUCACACGUCAUACAAUGGUCGGUACAGAGGGUCGCCAACCCGCGAGGGGGAGCUAAUCCCACAAAGCCGAUCGUAGUCCGGAUCGCAGUCUGCAACUCGACUGCGUGAAGUCGGAAUCGCUAGUAAUCGUGGAUCAGCAUGUCACGGUGAAUACGUUCCCGGGUCUU